UCUGCAUUCCAUCUGAGGUACCGGGUUCA
RNAcentral lists this non-coding RNA (29 nucleotides) under Homo sapiens (human). Lineage: Eukaryota; Metazoa; Chordata; Mammalia; Primates; Hominidae. The record is from RNAcentral.